UGAGCUAUGGUGUAAUGGUAGCACAACAGACUCUGAAUCUGUUUGUCUUGGUUCGAAUCCAGGUAGCUCAA
RNAcentral lists this transfer RNA (71 nucleotides) under Fibrobacter sp. RNAcentral describes it as "tRNA-Gln". It matches the Rfam family "tRNA". Rfam says of the family: Transfer RNA (tRNA) molecules are approximately 80 nucleotides in length. Their secondary structure includes four short double-helical elements and three loops (D, anti-codon, and T loops). Lineage: Bacteria; Pseudomonadati; Fibrobacterota; Fibrobacteria; Fibrobacterales; Fibrobacteraceae. The record is from RNAcentral.